Patiria miniata (bat star) is the source of this 326-nucleotide long non-coding RNA. RefSeq lists it as uncharacterized. The record is from RefSeq and is a predicted model, not a curated record. NCBI's taxonomy places the organism in Eukaryota, Metazoa, Echinodermata, Asteroidea, Valvatida, Asterinidae. The transcript has 3 exons.
AGAGAAACUGAAAAAGGAACAAGUUGGCAAUCAAGACAAACCUCGGCCUUUCUGUUUCAGAUAUGUGCAAGUCUUCAUCCAAUGCCACGUGUCGCACAAAGCAAAGACACUUUGUUUUCGAAUGAAUGCAGAGACAUCUAUCUUUACCUUGAAACAUAUGAUAAACGAGAAAAUCAGUGUCCAGCCUCAACAACAACGACUGUACAUCCGAAGGAACUUUCGUAACUUUGAGCUUUGUAACUUGCUGACACUUCAAGAUUGUGGAAUUCAUCAGGACGAGAACAUCUCACUCCGUCUGUCUACUGAUGGCCUACUGGGCGGUGGAC